CGGGGAGUAGCGCAGCUCGGUAGCGCGCUUGGUUUGGGUCCAAGAAGUCGUCGGUUCAAAUCCGGCCUCCCCGA
This 74-nucleotide transfer RNA is filed under the name Clostridia bacterium. RNAcentral describes it as "tRNA-Pro". It matches the Rfam family "tRNA". Rfam says of the family: Transfer RNA (tRNA) molecules are approximately 80 nucleotides in length. The record is from RNAcentral. Lineage: Bacteria; Bacillati; Bacillota; Clostridia.